This 29-nucleotide ribosomal RNA is filed under the name Tolypocladium album. RNAcentral's name for it is "partial 18S ribosomal RNA". RNAcentral also lists the same sequence under 2 other names. The record is from RNAcentral. Lineage: Eukaryota; Fungi; Ascomycota; Sordariomycetes; Hypocreales; Ophiocordycipitaceae.
UUCCGUAGGUGAACCUGCGGAGGGAUCAU